UUAAACAGAGCAGCUAAGCCAAGAGGGGGUUCAGAGAAAGAAAUUCCCGCAACGGAGGAGCAUGCGCGCCGGACAUAGUGAUCUAGUGAUUUUUUUUUGUUCUGAAAGAAAAAGGGAUCCAGAUCAGUGAGAGACCAGGAAUCAGGACUAGCGGGACGGGAAAGAGACCCAAGAAGCAUAAGAGGAAUAGGUCACAGCUCCGCCAUCCUGGCUUGGUUUUGCUGGGCUCGAAGACACAAUCCUGGCCACGUAGAGCGGGUCCCUCGCCCAUUUAGGGAGAGAAAAAAAAAGCAUCAAUUAACUUAUUUACUCCCAUUAUUUAUUUUUGUUAGACGUCUCCAUUUAUAUGUAUAUGUUAAUCCCCUAAUUUAAGUCCGC
Drosophila miranda is the source of this 378-nucleotide long non-coding RNA. RefSeq lists it as uncharacterized. NCBI's taxonomy places the organism in Eukaryota, Metazoa, Arthropoda, Insecta, Diptera, Drosophilidae. The transcript has 3 exons. The record is from RefSeq and is a predicted model, not a curated record.